This is a small nucleolar RNA of Osmerus eperlanus (European smelt), 127 nucleotides long. RefSeq annotates it as small nucleolar RNA SNORA71. The record is from RefSeq and is a predicted model, not a curated record. Lineage: Eukaryota; Metazoa; Chordata; Actinopteri; Osmeriformes; Osmeridae. The transcript has a single exon.
CCCUGUAUCGAAAGUGACUAUGGUAUGACAGUUGCCAGGUCAUUGAUAGUACAGGAAAAAAAACAUUGAAAGCUUUCCCGUGUUUAUUGGAAUGCUUGUUCCAGAUAAACCCUGUAGCUUUCAAACA